This 253-nucleotide ribosomal RNA is filed under the name uncultured prokaryote. RNAcentral's name for it is "partial 16S ribosomal RNA". It matches the Rfam family "Bacterial small subunit ribosomal RNA", at positions 524 to 776 of the family's 1533-position model. The record is from RNAcentral.
GACAGAGGGGGCAAGCGUUGCUCGGAAUUACUGGGCGUAAAGCGUGCGCAGGCGGUUUUGUAAGUCUGUCGUGAAAUCCCCGGGCUUAACCUGGGAAUGGCGAUGGAGACUGCAAGGCUGGAGUUUGGCAGAGUGGGGUAGAAUUCCACGUGUAGCAGUGAAAUGCGUAGAGAUGUGGAGGAACACCGAUGGCGAAGGCAGCCUUCUGGGCCAAUACUGACGCUCAUGCACGAAAGCGUGGGGAGCAAACAGG